RNAcentral lists this ribosomal RNA (545 nucleotides) under uncultured fungus. RNAcentral's name for it is "SSU rRNA". It matches the Rfam family "Eukaryotic small subunit ribosomal RNA", at positions 598 to 1147 of the family's 1831-position model. Lineage: Eukaryota; Fungi. The record is from RNAcentral.
CGUAUAUUAAAGUUGUUGCAGUUAAAAAGCUCGUAGUUGAACCUUGGGUCUGGCUGGUGGGUCCGCCUCACCGCCUGCACUUGUCCGGCUGGACCUUUCCUUCUGGAGAACCUCAUGCCCUUUACUGGGUGUGUUGGGGAACCAGGACUUUUACUUUGAAAAAAUUAGAGUGUUCAAAGCAGGCCUUUGCUCGAAUACGUUAGCAUGGAAUAAUGGAAUAGGACGUGCGAUCCUAUUUUGUUGGUUUCUAGGAUCGCCGUAAUGAUUAAUAGGGAUAGUCGGGGGCAUCAGUAUUCAAUUGUCAGAGGUGAAAUUCUUGGAUUUAUUGAAGACUAACUACUGCGAAAGCAUUUGCCAAGGAUGUUUUCAUUAAUCAGUGAACGAAAGUUAGGGGAUCGAAGACGAUCAGAUACCGUCGUAGUCUUAACCGUAAACUAUGCCGACUAGGGAUCGGGCGAUGUUUCUAUCAUGACUCGCUCGGCACCUUACGAGAAAUCAAAGUUUUUGGGUUCUGGGGGGAGUAUGGUCGCAAGGCUGAAACUUAA